RNAcentral lists this ribosomal RNA (460 nucleotides) under uncultured bacterium. RNAcentral describes it as "partial 16S ribosomal RNA". It matches the Rfam family "Bacterial small subunit ribosomal RNA", at positions 338 to 795 of the family's 1533-position model. The record is from RNAcentral.
CCUACGGGUGGCAGCAGUGAGGAAUAUUGGUCAAUGGACGGAAGUCUGAACCAGCCAUGCCGCGUGCAGGAUGACGGCUCUAUGAGUUGUAAACUUCUUUUGUACGAGAAUAAUAGUUCUUACGUGUAGGGAUGUGAAUGUAACGUACGAAUAAGGAUUGGCCAACCCCGUGCCAGCAGCCGCGGUAAUACGGAGGAUUGGAGCGUUACUCGGAUUUAUUGGGUUUUAAGGGUGCGUAGGGGGUCAGUUAAGUUAGACGUCAAAUGUCGGGGCUUAACCCCGUGCCUGCCUCUGAUACUGUUCGACUAGAGAGCGGAUGCAGCAGGCGGAAUGAGUGGUGUAGCGGUGAAAUGCUUAGAUAUUACUCAGAACACCGAUUGCGAAGGCAGCUUGCUGGUCCGCAUCUGACGCUGAUGCACGAAAGCGUGGGUAGCGAACAGGAUUAGAUACCCCUGUAGUC